This 374-nucleotide unclassified non-coding RNA is filed under the name soil metagenome. Its description in RNAcentral is "partial contains internal transcribed spacer 2 and large subunit ribosomal RNA". The stretch from base 1 to 120 matches the Rfam family "5.8S ribosomal RNA", at positions 35 to 154 of the family's 154-position model. The record is from RNAcentral.
GAUGAAGAACGUAGCGAAAUGCGAUAAUUAAUGUGAAUUGCAGAAUUCCGUGAAUCAUCGAGUCUUUGAACGCACAUUGCGCCUCAUGGCAUUCCGUGAGGCAUGCCCAUCUCAGCGUUAGAAAAUAUUCUCAAAUUUUAGUUUUGUGCUAAAAUUUAGAUCAUGUCAAGGAAGCUAUUACUAUUAUUGUGAUCGCUCUUUGGAAAUUGAUAGGUCUUUGAGUUGCUACUCAUAGAACGUGAUGAAUCUUUCUUCGUUCUAUUGUAAUUCACUCUGGUAGUCCUAAAACUUGUAUGCCUGUGGCAUAUCUUGUAAUUUGACCUGAGAUUGGGUAGGGAUACCCGCUGAACUUAAGCAUAUCAAUAAGCGGAGGA